RNAcentral lists this signal recognition particle RNA (299 nucleotides) under Saimiri boliviensis boliviensis (Bolivian squirrel monkey). RNAcentral's name for it is "Metazoan signal recognition particle RNA (ENSSBOG00000001406.1)". It matches the Rfam family "Metazoan signal recognition particle RNA". Rfam says of the family: The signal recognition particle (SRP) is a universally conserved ribonucleoprotein. The record is from RNAcentral. Lineage: Eukaryota; Metazoa; Chordata; Mammalia; Primates; Cebidae.
ACUGGGCUUGGUGGCACGUGCCUGUAGUCCCAGCUACUCGGGAGGCUGAGGUGGGAGGAUUGCUUGAGCCCAGGAGUUCUGGGCUGUAGUGCGCUAUGCCGAUCAGGUGUCUGCACUAAGUUCGGCAUCAGUAUGGUGACCUCCUGGGAGCAGGAGACCACCAGGUUGCCUAAGGAGGGGUGAACUGGCCCAGGUCAGAAACAGAGCAGGUCAAAACUCCUGUGCUGAUCAGUAGUGGGAUCGCACCUAUGAAUAGCCACUGCACCCCAGCCUGGGCAACAUAGCGAGACCCCGUCUCU